CCUACGGGUGGCAGCAGUGGGGAAUAUUGCACAAUGGGCGAAACCCUGAUGCAGCGACGCCGCGUGAGUGAAGAAGUAAUUCGUUACGUUAAGCUCUAUCAGCAGGGAAGAAAAUGACGGUACCUGUCUAAGAAGCCCCGGCUAACUACGUGCCAGCAGCCGCGGUAAUACGUAGGCGGCAAGCGUUAUCCGGAUUUACUGGGUGUAAAGGGAGCGUAGACGGUGCGCUAAGUCUGGAGUGAAAUGCCGAAGCUUAACUGCGGAACUGCAUUGGAAACUGGCGAACUAGAGUGCGGGAGGGGUAAGCGGAAUUCCUAGUGUAGCGGUGAAAUGCAUAGAUAUUAGGAGGAACACCGGUGGCGAAGGCAGCUUACUGGACCGUAACUGACGUUGAGGCUCGAAAGCGUGGGGAUCAAACAGGAUUAGAUACCCCAGUAGUC
RNAcentral lists this ribosomal RNA (440 nucleotides) under uncultured bacterium. Its description in RNAcentral is "partial 16S ribosomal RNA". It matches the Rfam family "Bacterial small subunit ribosomal RNA", at positions 338 to 795 of the family's 1533-position model. The record is from RNAcentral.